GAUAAACGCUAGCGGCAGGCUUAACACAUGCAAGUCGAGGGGCAGCAUAGAUUGUAGCAAUACAAUUGGUGGCGACCGGCGCACGGGUGCGUAACGCGUAUGCAACCUACCCGUCACAGGGGGAUAAUCCGGAGAAAUCUGGUCUAAUACCCCAUAACAUAUGGAUCGGCAUCGGUUCAUGUUGAAAUUUUCGGAGGUGACGGAUGGGCAUGCGUAGCAUUAGCUUGUUGGUGAGGUAACGGCUCACCAAGGCGACGAUGCUUAGGGGGACUGAGAGGUUUUCCCCCCACACUGGUACUGAGACACGGACCAGACUCCUACGGGAGGCAGCAGUGAGGAAUAUUGGUCAAUGGGCGCAAGCCUGAACCAGCCAUGCCGCGUGCAGGAUGACGGCUCUAUGAGUUGUAAACUGCUUUUGUACGAGGGUAAAGUGGUUACGUGUAACCUUUUGAAAGUAUCGUACGAAUAAGGAUCGGCUAACUCCGUGCCAGCCGCCGCCGUAA
RNAcentral lists this ribosomal RNA (503 nucleotides) under uncultured bacterium. RNAcentral's name for it is "partial 16S ribosomal RNA". It matches the Rfam family "Bacterial small subunit ribosomal RNA", at positions 28 to 523 of the family's 1533-position model. The record is from RNAcentral.